RNAcentral lists this ribosomal RNA (301 nucleotides) under uncultured bacterium. RNAcentral describes it as "partial 16S ribosomal RNA". It matches the Rfam family "Bacterial small subunit ribosomal RNA", at positions 509 to 809 of the family's 1533-position model. The record is from RNAcentral.
CAGCAGCCGCGGUAAAACGUAGGGCGCAAGCGUUGUCCGGAAUUAUUGGGCGUAAAGAGCUCGUAGGCGGUCUGUCGCGUCUGGUGUGAAAUCCCGAGGCUCAACCUCGGGCUUGCAUCGGGUACGGGCAGACUAGAGUGCGGUAGGGGAGACUGGAAUUCCUGGUGUAGCGGUGGAAUGCGCAGAUAUCAGGAGGAACACCGAUGGCGAAGGCAGGUCUCUGGGCCGCAACUGACGCUGAGGAGCGAAAGCAUGGGGAGCGAACAGGAUUAGAUACCCCAGUAGUCCCUGUCUCUUAUAA